AACCAUGCAAGUCGAGCGGAUGAGAGGAGCUUGCUCCUCGAUUCAGCGGCGGACGGGUGAGUAAUGCCUAGGAAUCUGCCUAGUAGUGGGGGACAACGUUUCCAAAGGAACGCUAAUACCGCAUACGUCCUACGGGAGAAAGUGGGGGAUCUUCGGACCUCACGCUAUUAGAUGAGCCUAGGUCGGAUUACCUAGUUGGUAGGGUAAAGGCCUACCAAGGCGACGAUCCGUAACUGGUCUGAGAGGAUGAUCAGUCACACUGGAACUGAGACACGGUCCAGACUCCUACGGGAGGCAGCAGUGGGGAAUAUUGGACAAUGGGCGAAAGCCUGAUCCAGCCAUGCCGCGUGUGUGAAGAAGGCCUUCGGGUCGUAAAGCACUUUAAGUUGGGAGGAAGGGCUCAUAGCGAAUACCUGUGAGUUUUGACGUUACCAACAGAAUAAGCACCGGCUAACUUCGUGCCAGCAGCCGCGGUAAUACGAAGGGUGCAAGCGUUAAUCGGAAUUACUGGGCGUAAAGCGCGCGUAGGUGGCUUGAUAAGUUGGAUGUGAAAUCCCCGGGCUCAACCUGGGAACUGCAUCCAAAACUGUCUGGCUAGAGUGCGGUAGAGGGUAGUGGAAUUUCCAGUGUAGCGGUGAAA
This 640-nucleotide ribosomal RNA is filed under the name Pseudomonas oryzihabitans. RNAcentral describes it as "bacterial SSU rRNA". It matches the Rfam family "Bacterial small subunit ribosomal RNA", at positions 51 to 686 of the family's 1533-position model. Lineage: Bacteria; Pseudomonadati; Pseudomonadota; Gammaproteobacteria; Pseudomonadales; Pseudomonadaceae. The record is from RNAcentral.